CCGCACAAGCGGUGAGCAUGUGGUUUAAUUCGAAGCAACGCGAAGAACCUUUACCAGGUCUUGACAUCCCUGACAACCCGAGAGAUCGGGCGUUCCCCUUCGGGGGACAGGGUGACAGGUGGUGCAUGGUUGUCGUCAGCUCGUGUCGUGAGAUGUUGGGUUAAGUCCCGCAACGAGCGCAACCCUCGACCUUAGUUGCCAGCAUUCAGUUUGGGCACUCUAAGGUGACUGCCGGCUAAAAGUCGGAGGAAGGUGGGGAUGACGUCAAAUCAUCAUGCCCCUUAUGACCUGGGCUACACACGUGCUACAAUGGGCGGUACAAAGGGUCGCGAACCCGCGAGGGGGAGCCAAUCCCAAAAAGCCGCUCUCAGUUCGGAUUGCAGGCUGCAACUCGCCUGCAUGAAGCCGGAAUCGCUAGUAAUCGCGGAUCAGCAUGCCGCGGUCGAAUACGUUCCCGGGCCUU
RNAcentral lists this ribosomal RNA (463 nucleotides) under uncultured Anoxybacillus sp. RNAcentral describes it as "bacterial SSU rRNA". It matches the Rfam family "Bacterial small subunit ribosomal RNA", at positions 921 to 1382 of the family's 1533-position model. Lineage: Bacteria; Bacillati; Bacillota; Bacilli; Caryophanales; Anoxybacillaceae. The record is from RNAcentral.